UACGAAGGGGGCUAGCGUUGUUCGGAAUCACUGGGCGUAAAGGGCGCGUAGGCGGCCGUUCAAGUCGGGGGUGAAAGCCUGUGGCUCAACCACAGAAUUGCCUCGAUACUGGACGGCUCGAGACCGGAAGAGGUCAGUGGAACUGCGAGUGUAGGAGGUAGAAAUUCGUAGAUAUUCGCAAGAACACCAGUGGCGAAGGCGGCUGACUGGUCCGGUUCUGACGCUGAGGCGCGAAAGCGUGGGGAGCAAACAGG
RNAcentral lists this ribosomal RNA (254 nucleotides) under uncultured bacterium. Its description in RNAcentral is "partial 16S ribosomal RNA". It matches the Rfam family "Bacterial small subunit ribosomal RNA", at positions 524 to 776 of the family's 1533-position model. The record is from RNAcentral.